Tupaia belangeri chinensis (Chinese tree shrew) is the source of this 842-nucleotide non-coding RNA. The record is from the annotation of a RefSeq genome assembly. Lineage: Eukaryota; Metazoa; Chordata; Mammalia; Scandentia; Tupaiidae.
GUGUGUUUGACAGGCAAAGGACCAUGAACUGCAGCCUGCAUGGGCAGAGGCUUCUCUGGAGUCUACAUUUGAUGAAGACUGGGAAGGUCUUCCAUGAAGCCACUUGGAUAACCUGAGCCAAGAGUACACAAAAGGACACCUGCCACAGAGAAAACCUAGGGAAGCUGUGGGGGACAAUGUCUGCCCCAAACUUGCCCUGCCUACCUCAGCAUGGUUAGCUCCCCUUCCUGGAGGAGGUGGGACAGAGUAAGGGAAGGCCUGGCCCACUGAGCCUGUCCAGGGCUGCAGGUGCCUACAGCAGCCUACAGAGACAGUCAUACCACAACAGUGACAUUACAGGCCAAUCCUCCAGAAAAGGAAGGCGUUAAACUCCUGCUCUCUCACCCCAGGAACCCAGCACCCUGAGCAGGGACAUGCCUGCCCCUGUCCUGCCUGACUCUGCCUGGGGCACCAGGAUCCUCUGCUGGGCUGCCCUUUGUCUCCUGGGAGCAGGUUCAGCGGAUGUUGGAGUCACCCAGACCCCAAGAUACCUCAUCACAGAAAAGAGGGGAGAGGCCACUCUCAAAUGCUAUCCUGUCCCAGGCCAUGCCACUGUGUACUGGUACAAGCAGGCUCCAGACCAGGGCCUCCAGUUCCUCAUUUCAUAUUAUGAGAAGACAGAGAACGAGAAAGGCAUCAUCCCUGAUCGAUUCUCAGCUAAGCAGUUCAGUGACUACCAUUCUGAAAUGAACAUGAGCUCCUUGGAGCUGGGGGACUCCGCCUCAUACCUCUGUGCCAGCAGUGUAGACACAGCCCUGCAGAGCCACUGGCUUUCUGUACCUAAACCUUCCUGUCCCAGCUGA